Molecule: ribosomal RNA, 744 nt
Filed under: uncultured bacterium
Lineage: Bacteria
Description: bacterial SSU rRNA
Rfam family: Bacterial small subunit ribosomal RNA
Source: RNAcentral
AGAGUUUGAUCAUGGCUCAGAGCGAACGCUGGCGGCAGGCUUAACACAUGCAAGUCGAGCGGGCGUAGCAAUACGUCAGCGGCAGACGGGUGAGUAACGCGUGGGAACAUACCUUUUGGUUCGGAACAACACAGGGAAACUUGUGCUAAUACCGGAUAAGCCCUUACGGGGAAAGAUUUAUCGCCGAAAGAUUGGCCCGCGUCUGAUUAGCUAGUUGGUGAGGUAACGGCUCACCAAGGCGACGAUCAGUAGCUGGUCUGAGAGGAUGAUCAGCCACAUUGGGACUGAGACACGGCCCAAACUCCUACGGGAGGCAGCAGUGGGGAAUAUUGGACAAUGGGCGCAAGCCUGAUCCAGCCAUGCCGCGUGAGUGAUGAAGGCCCUAGGGUUGUAAAGCUCUUUUGUGCGGGAAGAUAAUGACGGUACCGCAAGAAUAAGCCCCGGCUAACUUCGUGCCAGCAGCCGCGGUAAUACGAAGGGGGCUAGCGUUGCUCGGAAUCACUGGGCGUAAAGGGUGCGUAGGCGGGUCUUUAAGUCAGGGGUGAAAUCCUGGAGCUCAACUCCAGAACUGCCUUUGAUACUGAAGAUCUUGAGUUCGGGAGAGGUGAGUGGAACUGCGAGUGUAGAGGUGAAAUUCGUAGAUAUUCGCAAGAACACCAGUGGCGAAGGCGGCUCACUGGCCCGAUACUGACGCUGAGGCACGAAAGCGUGGGGAGCAAACAGGAUUAGAUACCCCCGUAGUCC